ACGCUGGCGGCAGGCCUAACACAUGCAAGUCGAGCGGUAGAGAGAAGCUUGCUUCUCUUGAGAGCGGCGGACGGGUGAGUAAUGCCUAGGAAUCUGCCUGGUAGGGGGGGAUAACGUUCGGAAACGGACGCUAAUACCGCAUACGUCCUACGGGAGAAAGCAGGGGACCUUCGGGCCUUGCGCUAUCAGAUGAGCCUAGGUCGGAUUAGCUAGUUGGUGGGGUAAUGGCUCACCAAGGCGACGAUCCGUAACUGGUCUGAGAGGAUGAUCAGUCACACUGGAACUGAGACACGGUCCAGACUCCUACGGGAGGCAGCAGUGGGGAAUAUUGGACAAUGGGCGAAAGCCUGAUCCAGCCAUGCCGCGUGUGUGAAGAAGGUCUUCGGAUUGUAAAGCACUUUAAGUUGGGAGGAAGGGCAGUUGCCUAGUACGUAGCUGUUUUGACGUUACCGACAGAAUAAGCACCGGCUAACUCUGUGCCAGCAGCCGCGGUAAUACAGAGGGUGCAAGCGUUAAUCGGAAUUACUGGGCGUAAAGCGCGCGUAGGUGGUUUGUUAAGUUGGAUGUGAAAUCCCCGGGCUCAACCUGGGAACUGCAUUCAAAACUGACUGACUAGAGUAUGGUAGAGGGUGGUGGAAUUUCCUGUGUAGCGGUGAAAUGCGUAGAUAUAGGAAGGAACACCAGUGGCGAAGGCGACCACCUGGACUGAUACUGACACUGAGGUGCGAAAGCGUGGGGAGCAAAC
This 745-nucleotide ribosomal RNA is filed under the name uncultured bacterium. RNAcentral's name for it is "bacterial SSU rRNA". It matches the Rfam family "Bacterial small subunit ribosomal RNA", at positions 33 to 773 of the family's 1533-position model. The record is from RNAcentral.